This 661-nucleotide ribosomal RNA is filed under the name Salmonella enterica subsp. enterica serovar Infantis. Its description in RNAcentral is "partial 23S ribosomal RNA". It matches the Rfam family "Bacterial large subunit ribosomal RNA", at positions 711 to 1368 of the family's 2925-position model. Lineage: Bacteria; Pseudomonadati; Pseudomonadota; Gammaproteobacteria; Enterobacterales; Enterobacteriaceae. The record is from RNAcentral. RNAcentral also lists the same sequence under 1 other name.
AGACCCGAAACCCGGUGAUCUAGCCAUGGGCAGGUUGAAGGUUGGGUAACACUAACUGGAGGACCGAACCGACUAAUGUUGAAAAAUUAGCGGAUGACCUGUGGCUGGGGGUGAAAGGCCAAUCAAACCGGGAGAUAGCUGGUUCUCCCCGAAAGCUAUUUAGGUAGCGCCUCGUGAAUUCAUCUCCGGGGGUAGAGCACUGUUUCGGCUAGGGGGCCAUCCCGGCUUACCAACCCGAUGCAAACUGCGAAUACCGGAGAAUGUUAUCACGGGAGACACACGGCGGGUGCUAACGUCCGUCGUGAAGAGGGAAACAACCCAGACCGCCAGCUAAGGUCCCAAAGUCAUGGUUAAGUGGGAAACGAUGUGGGAAGGCCCAGACAGCCAGGAUGUUGGCUUAGAAGCAGCCAUCAUUUAAAGAAAGCGUAAUAGCUCACUGGUCGAGUCGGCCUGCGCGGAAGAUGUAACGGGGCUAAACCAUGCACCGAAGCUGCGGCAGCGACACUCAGGUGUUGUUGGGUAGGGGAGCGUUCUGUAAGUCUGCGAAGGUGGCCUGUGAGGGUUGCUGGAGGUAUCAGAAGUGCGAAUGCUGACAUAAGUAACGAUAAAGCGGGUGAAAAGCCCGCUCGCCGGAAGACCAAGGGUUCCUGUCCAACGUUAA